RNAcentral lists this ribosomal RNA (492 nucleotides) under uncultured bacterium. RNAcentral's name for it is "partial 16S ribosomal RNA". It matches the Rfam family "Bacterial small subunit ribosomal RNA", at positions 29 to 507 of the family's 1533-position model. The record is from RNAcentral.
AGUGAACGCUGGCGGUAGGCCUAACACAUGCAAGUCGAACGGCAGCACGGUAAGAGCUUGCUCUUACGGGUGGCGAGUGGCGGACGGGUGAGGAAUACAUCGGAAUCUACUUUUUCGUGGGGGAUAACGUAGGGAAACUUACGCUAAUACCGCAUACGACCUACGGGUGAAAGCAGGGGAUCUUCGGACCUUGCGCGAUUGAAUGAGCCGAUGUCGGAUUAGCUAGUUGGCGGGGUAAAGGCCCACCAAGGCGACGAUCCGUAGCUGGUCUGAGAGGAUGAUCCGCCACAAUGGAACUGAGACACGGUCCAGACUCCUACGGGAGGCAGCAGUAGGGAAUAUUGGACAAUGGGCGCAAGCCUGAUCCAGCCAUACCGCGUGGGUGAAGAAGGCCUUCGGGUUGUAAAGCCCUUUUGUUGGGAAAGAAAAGAAGCAGGUUAAUACCCAGCUGUUCUGACGGUACCCAAAGAAUAAGCACCGGCUAACUUCGUG